CACAUUUCCUGGGAGCACGGCCUGUAAUUAAACUAACUCCUCCCUUCAGCUGUAAUAAUUGCACCGCCAGAAGCCCAUAGGAGCGGCUGCUUUCCUCUCGCUCGCCUGUUACACCCGCUUUCGUUUUCCUUUAUUUUUUUUUUUUUCUUAACAGAACAAGAAACUGCCUGAACUGACUGAGCUGUCGACUGCGGACUCAGAGGGCUGGGGGUGGAGGGCACUUUAAUUUCAGCAAGGUCUGCACGCUGCCUUUCCCUGAUAAACUUCUGCCGGCAGCACCCCCAGGCUCUCCCCGGAGCGCAUCUCGGGCUUUGCUGCGGCGAUGCCCAGUAUUUGAUAAUGCAAUGGCUGGAAGACCACUAACUAUCAGAUUAAACAGCUGGACACACUGGAUAUUGGCAGUUAUUCUGCUGCUAUGGAGUCAUCAAAUCAGUGGACAGGGACAAGGUUUGUGCCUUGUAAAAGCAGGACAGGUUCUGGUCUGCAUUUUCUAAAUGGAAAAAUGACCAAGUAUUUCAGGUAAAGCUGAAAAAGGUUAAUUUACUUCUGUUCAUUCUUUGUGAGAAAGGAUUAG
Molecule: long non-coding RNA, 574 nt
Filed under: Coturnix japonica (Japanese quail)
Lineage: Eukaryota; Metazoa; Chordata; Aves; Galliformes; Phasianidae
Description: lncRNA (ENSCJPG00005004433.1)
Source: RNAcentral